RNAcentral lists this ribosomal RNA (301 nucleotides) under uncultured bacterium. Its description in RNAcentral is "partial 16S ribosomal RNA". It matches the Rfam family "Bacterial small subunit ribosomal RNA", at positions 509 to 809 of the family's 1533-position model. The record is from RNAcentral.
CAGUAGCCGCGGUAAUACGGAGGGAGCUAGCGUUGUUCGGAAUUACUGGGCGUAAAGCGCGCGUAGGCGGUUACUCAAGUCAGAGGUGAAAGCCCGGGGCUCAACCCCGGAACUGCCUUUGAAACUAGGUGACUAGAAUCUUGGAGAGGUCAGUGGAAUUCCGAGUGUAGAGGUGAAAUUCGUAGAUAUUCGGAAGAACACCAGUGGCGAAGGCGACUGACUGGACAAGUAUUGACGCUGAGGUGCGAAAGCGUGGGGAGCAAACAGGAUUAGAUACCCCCGUAGUCCCUGUCUCUUAUAU